Lutra lutra (Eurasian river otter) is the source of this 841-nucleotide long non-coding RNA. RefSeq lists it as uncharacterized. Lineage: Eukaryota; Metazoa; Chordata; Mammalia; Carnivora; Mustelidae. The transcript is spliced from 6 exons. The record is from RefSeq and is a predicted model, not a curated record.
AGGAGACGAGAUUGGAUCGGGUCGCGUACGUGACGCCGGCCUAGGGUGUCUGAUUGGAGAAACGCCGAGCGGCGCCGCUCGCCGGCCGGACUCCUUCUCAAAGAAGAAACGCUAGAGGAGAUUGUAGACCGAGAGACCGCGGGUGUACGUAGGGAAGAAAUGAAUGAUCUGGAGGACAUGACAUCGUAACACAAGCAAGACUCCCCAGCACAUCCUGAUUCAGGAAGCGAAGGCUGUGUCACCGCAGUCCUUUAUGACAAGGAGAACAUCUCACUGCCUCUACCCUCAUUACCUGCAUCUGCUCAAAUGUCCUCCAUGGAUCCACAGCCAAGACUGUCUUCUCCCACCCACUCUGCUCCUGUCGGGCCUCCCACAACCCACUUGGAGACAAUUUAACAGUGUGUUUCUGGAAACAAUGCUGCCUCCUUUCAGGUCUUGACUACUAGUGUUAUUCCAAUGGUAGGAAUUUCAAGCCAGAUAAUUUUUUGACAGUAUCAAGAAGUACAUAAGCUACAACCAACAAAUCUGUACACUUGGGAGGGACAAUAAUAGCAGGGACCCAGCAGAACCAUUGUGAUCCCCCCGUGUGCCAACAGAGUCCAUCCGCAUAGCCCGUGGAACUGCCCAGGACGAUUGCACUGCCCUCCUCCUUUCAGCUCACUCACCACACAGUGAUUCUCUUCUGGUCACUCCAAAACAAGACUAGCCACAAAACAGACAUCUGUAGGAGGCACAGCAAAGACCCACGGCAGGGCCUUUGUUCACUCUCACCCCUGCUGUUCUCACAUGGAGGAGGCCAGUGUCUAUGAGACACAGUAGCCGACUUGACAGUCCACUGCGG